CUCAUUUCUAGGUUAAUAAUCUGAGGAAAUCAAUGUUUUUUUGCCACUCUCUACCUUACCUCCCCUGUGUAUCUCAGUCUUUUCUUUCUCUCUCUACUUCACCAUAUUUGCUCUCAGUUUUAUACUUUCCACAUUAUAGACAUCUAUCCUUUGUCCUCUGCAAUUCUCUCUCUCUCUUUUAAUUUUUCCUUCCUCCUUAUCUAACUAUUGAAUAUAUACCUCUUCUUAGCCCUGUGAUUUUGCCUUGGUGAUGAGUAGUUAUUUCCAGACUUAAUGAGCCCUGAUCCUACGAGAGUCCCGUUAGAAGUCUGUUGGUGGGGAGCAAUCCGAGCCUGGCCCUUUCUCCAACAUUUUCAGUUGUAAUUCACUGAAGCAGAUCCUCACACACAGUUUCAUUAUAGCUCACAUAUCUUUGAGUCUUUG
This 423-nucleotide long non-coding RNA is filed under the name Bos taurus (domestic cattle). RNAcentral's name for it is "long non-coding RNA NONBTAT031771". The record is from RNAcentral. Lineage: Eukaryota; Metazoa; Chordata; Mammalia; Artiodactyla; Bovidae.